CAAGUCGAGCGAGAAAAGGGGAGCAAUCCCCUGAGUACAGCGGCGCACGGGUGAGUAACACGUGGGUAAUCUGCCCUGGAGUGGGGAAUAACACCGGGAAACCGGUGCUAAUACCGCAUACGAUCACGAGGUCUGCGGACUUUGUGAUGAAAGGAGCAAUUCGCUCUAGGAGGAGCCCGCGGCUGAUUAGCUAGUUGGUGAGGUAACGGCUCACCAAGGCAACGAUCAGUAUCCGGUCUGAGAGGACGGUCGGACACACUGGAACUGAGACACGGUCCAGACUCCUACGGGAGGCAGCAGUGGGGAAUUUUUGGCAAUGGGGGCAACCCUGACCAAGCAACGCCGCGUGGGUGAUGAAGUCUCUUGGGACGUAAAACCCUUUCGACGGGGAAGAAAACCGCAAGGUUUGACGGUACCCGUAGAAGAAGCCCCGGCUAACUCCGUGCCAGCAGCCGCGGUAAUACGGGGGGGGCAAGCGUUGUUCGGAAUUACUGGGCGUAAAGGGCGCGUAGGCGGUUCGCUAAGUUGGAUGUGAAAACUCUGGGCUCAACCCAGAGCCUGCAUCCAAAACUGGCGGGCUAGAGUUCUGGAGGGGGUAGCGGAAUUCCUGGUGUAGCGGUGAAAUGCGUAGAUAUCAGGAGGAACACCGGUGGCGAAGGCGGCUACCUGGACAGAAACUGACGCUGAGGCGCGAAAGCUAGGGGAGCAAACAGGAUUAGAUACCCUGGUAGUCCUAGCCCUAAACGAUGGAUACUUGGUGUGACUGGGAUUGAAUCCAGUCGUGCCGAAGCUAACGCAUUAA
RNAcentral lists this ribosomal RNA (802 nucleotides) under uncultured Bacillota bacterium. RNAcentral's name for it is "bacterial SSU rRNA". It matches the Rfam family "Bacterial small subunit ribosomal RNA", at positions 58 to 863 of the family's 1533-position model. Lineage: Bacteria; Bacillati; Bacillota. The record is from RNAcentral.